CAGCAGCCGCGGUAAUACGUAGGGUGCAAGCGUUACUCGGAAUUACUGGGCGUAAAGCGUGCGUAGGUGGUGGUUUAAGUCCGUUGUGAAAGCCCUGGGCUCAACCUGGGAAUUGCAGUGGAUACUGGGUCACUAGAGUGUGGUAGAGGAUAGUGGAAUUUCCGGUGUAGCAGUGAAAUGCGUAGAGAUCGGAAGGAACAUCUGUGGCGAAGGCGACUAUCUGGGCCAACACUGACACUGAGGCACGAAAGCGUGGGGAGCAAACAGGAUUAGAUACCCGUGUAGUCCCUGUCUCUUAUAC
Molecule: ribosomal RNA, 301 nt
Filed under: uncultured bacterium
Lineage: Bacteria
Description: partial 16S ribosomal RNA
Rfam family: Bacterial small subunit ribosomal RNA
Source: RNAcentral